CUUUGGGUCUUCGCUUUGCGAAGGGAAGAGGGAAGCGGGUGAAAUUCCCGCACGGUCCCGCCGCUGUGUGGUGGAGCCUCCGGCAAUGGGCCACUGGUUUACGGGAAGGCUGUCGGAGGCGAGGAAGCCAAGUCAGAAUACCUGCCCAAA
RNAcentral lists this non-coding RNA (150 nucleotides) under Merdimmobilis hominis. The record is from RNAcentral. Lineage: Bacteria; Bacillati; Bacillota; Clostridia; Eubacteriales; Oscillospiraceae.